Molecule: ribosomal RNA, 253 nt
Filed under: uncultured bacterium
Lineage: Bacteria
Description: partial 16S ribosomal RNA
Rfam family: Bacterial small subunit ribosomal RNA
Source: RNAcentral
UACAUGGGGUGCAAACGUUGCUCGGAAUUAUUGGGCGUAAAGCGCGCGUAGGCGGUUAUCUAAGUCGGAUGUGAAAGCCCUCGGCUUAACCGAGGAAGUGCAUCCGAAACUGGGUAGCUAGAGUACGAGAGAGGGUCGCGGAAUUCCCGGUGUAGAGGUGAAAUUCGUAGAUAUCGGGAGGAACACCGGUGGCGAAGGCGGCGACCUGGUUCGAGACUGACGCUGAGGCGCGAAAGCGUGGGGAGCAAACAGG